RNAcentral lists this long non-coding RNA (321 nucleotides) under Bos taurus (domestic cattle). RNAcentral describes it as "long non-coding RNA NONBTAT020234". The record is from RNAcentral. Lineage: Eukaryota; Metazoa; Chordata; Mammalia; Artiodactyla; Bovidae.
CUUAAAAAUUAAUCAAAGUCCAGAAAAAUGUUUUAUACUAAACUCUAAAAGAAGGUCAGAUUCAUGUUUUGACAGCUGAAUAAAAAUCAGAUAAAGCCAAAUUGUUUAUUAGCUCCAAUAUGCCCUCAGCUGUCAAAAUAGUCCCAACAGGGAGAGGAAAGUAAAAAUGCAAGCUCAUCAAACAGGGUCAUCCUAACAAAUGAAGACCGCUGGACCCAUUAAAUCUGUUAAACAUUUUAUUCCAUGAAAGUAAAAAUACCUCUGUAAGCAAAACAUCAUAUCCCCCUCAUCAGUCUCUUCUCUGACCAUCUUGGCUCCUGA